GAGGCACUGAUAGAAAGAAAGAGAAUGGGAGAGAGAGAAUGAGAGAAGGGAUGGGAAGGCAGACAGAGUGAAAGAAGACUGAAGGGAGGGAGGCGAAUCUGUGAGGUCUAUUUUGUGGUGUUUCAAGCUGAACAAGGUGCACAACUGCGUGUCUGUCUUCAAUGAGUAUACACUGAAAUAACAACAGGUUUUGCAAGAUAACCAACAGUGUUGACUACAUUAUCUAGAGACACAGCUGAUUUCCCUCCUAAAGUCAAGACAUGGAAAGGACAGAGAAUAAAGUGUCCACCAUCUCCCCACAAAAACAGACAGUAAAAAAUAGAUCCAAGUCCACAGAAGAGGUACAGCAAGCCAAAAAGGCUUUUCAUACACCACAAAAAUCUCUCCCGGCUAAACCAGAAACUGAACAACUAGAGGAGACCUCAGAAUUGAGUGCCUCAUCGGAGGAGUUCAAAUGAUUGCUGGAUUCGGGGCUUUGAGAUUUAGACAGAUCAAAUGGAAUUAUGGGUGAUAACAAGUGGAUGAUUCAGUGUCUCUGUUUAUAGAAUUGUGACUUGGUUUUAGCUAGUUUGCAUAGAAGAAAACCAACAAUAAUCAUGUGUAGCUUCUUGGAUUUGUAUGAGUCUGAUAAUGUUUGUGAAAUAAAUGCUCAACUGGA
Labeo rohita (rohu) is the source of this 658-nucleotide long non-coding RNA. RefSeq lists it as uncharacterized. Lineage: Eukaryota; Metazoa; Chordata; Actinopteri; Cypriniformes; Cyprinidae. The record is from RefSeq and is a predicted model, not a curated record. The transcript is spliced from 6 exons.